This is a non-coding RNA of Drosophila persimilis, 94 nucleotides long. The record is from Rfam. Lineage: Eukaryota; Metazoa; Arthropoda; Insecta; Diptera; Drosophilidae.
UUUGGUUCUAUGUUCUUAGUACUUGGGUUGAUAAAGACCACUCGUAGUGUGAGAAGCCUUUGUCAUCGCGGGUAUUAUGCAACAUAGCUCAAAA